GUCCGCACCGUAAACGAUGGACACUCGCUGCCGGCGAUACACAGUCGGUGGCUUAGCGAAAGCGUUAAGUGUCCCACCUGGGGAGUACGCCGGCAACGGUGAAACUCAAAGGAAUUGACGGGGCCCGCACAAGCGGAGGAACAUGUGGUUUAAUUCGAUGAUACGCGAGGAACCUUUACCCGGGCUUGAACUAUGGUGGACCGUUCCAGAGAUGGAUCUUCCCUUCGGGGCCGCCAUGGAGUGCUGCAUGGUUGUCGU
This 258-nucleotide ribosomal RNA is filed under the name uncultured bacterium. RNAcentral describes it as "partial 16S ribosomal RNA". It matches the Rfam family "Bacterial small subunit ribosomal RNA", at positions 793 to 1055 of the family's 1533-position model. The record is from RNAcentral.